AUUGAACGCUGGCGGCAGGCCUAACACAUGCAAGUCGGACGGUAGCACAGAGAGCUUGCUCUCGGGUGACGAGUGGCGGACGGGUGAGUAAUGUCUGGGGAUCUGCCCGAUAGAGGGGGAUAACCACUGGAAACGGUGGCUAAUACCGCAUAACGUCGCAAGACCAAAGAGGGGGACCUUCGGGCCUCUCACUAUCGGAUGAACCCAGAUGGGAUUAGCUAGUAGGCGGGGUAAUGGCCCACCUAGGCGACGAUCCCUAGCUGGUCUGAGAGGAUGACCAGCCACACUGGAACUGAGACACGGUCCAGACUCCUACGGGAGGCAGCAGUGGGGAAUAUUGCACAAUGGGCGCAAGCCUGAUGCAGCCAUGCCGCGUGUAUGAAGAAGGCCUUCGGGUUGUAAAGUACUUUCAGCGGGGAGGAAGGCGAUGUGGUUAAUAACCGCGUCGAUUGACGUUACCCGCAGAAGAAGCACCGGCUAACUCCGUGCCAGCAGCCGCAGUAA
This 504-nucleotide ribosomal RNA is filed under the name uncultured bacterium. RNAcentral describes it as "partial 16S ribosomal RNA". It matches the Rfam family "Bacterial small subunit ribosomal RNA", at positions 29 to 523 of the family's 1533-position model. The record is from RNAcentral.